This 45-nucleotide non-coding RNA is filed under the name Schistosoma mansoni. Lineage: Eukaryota; Metazoa; Platyhelminthes; Trematoda; Strigeidida; Schistosomatidae. The record is from RNAcentral.
AUCCAUCUGACGAGUCCCAAAUAGGACGAAGCGCGCGUCCUGGAU